This 1516-nucleotide long non-coding RNA is filed under the name Carassius auratus (goldfish). Its description in RNAcentral is "lncRNA (ENSCARG00000031938.1)". Lineage: Eukaryota; Metazoa; Chordata; Actinopteri; Cypriniformes; Cyprinidae. The record is from RNAcentral.
CAGAAACACAAUACUGGGAAAGAGCUCUGAACAGAAGAAAGCACAGCAGAGAAUUUUGAGAGUGUAGUUAUUUCUACCUUACAUGCUCUAUCUACUAGCAUUGACCGAUAUCCCAUUUAUAAGUAAACAGGUUAGCACCCCACUUCUGUCUGCUCAGGACUUGCAGAUCCGAGGAGACGGUCCAUGUAGAAAGAUAUGUGUUAUCAUUUGUUGAGACUGGAUAGCGAGAGAGAGGAAAGGUGUAGUAAUUCCAUUCUUAUCUUUAGCAAAAAACGUUAGCUUUAGCAUCUUAUCUGGGAUAAACAAUACAAAUGACAUUUUUGCCACAUUAAGUCCAAAUGGGUAUUCUGACUAUGCCCUGACCUCAGAGUUAAAGUGAUAUAUCCCUGACUGUAAUCGUUGUUUUAUCUGUCCUUUCACAACAGGCAGUGUUUCAAUUUAAAUUAUUCAAGACUUGAGUGGGUGGUAAGCUUCUGUUACAGGGUGUAACACCUUAGCAAUCGUUCCCAUCUCUUUCACAAUGUUUCUGUAUAUUUCUUCUGGCUGAGAGGGAGCUUCAUCAUUGUUUCCCCGCCGUGCUUCAAGUGCUGACACAUUCAUCAAGUAGAGAUGAGGCUAUUAUUCCCAAGGCCUGACGUCAUAGGAUAGCCACUUGUCUUUUGUGGGAGUGAAUCGAUUUUGAAAUUGCAGCCUGUAGUCCAUGAUGGACACCCGGCCUUUCCUUGCCGUUGCUCUUGCUAUUAUUUAGCGAUUUGUCUUUUUGAGUUUUGUAAUUAUGCCCAAUGCUACUGAGCCUGGUGACAUUUUGAGUUGUGCAGACAAUGAGAUGGUUUGCUCAGCGUUAAGUCUGACAGGCCAGCUAUUAAGCUUAGCAUGGCAAUUUAUAGACCUUUCAAGUCAGAUCUAUACAUUACAUGUUAUAUUAAUGGCAACAUUUGGGAUUCUGACAUUAUGGUAAUCUAACCUUUUCUCUAACAAAAACUUUAUUUUCUUCUUUAAAUUAGAUUUCGGAUCAGAUAUAAAAUCUGAACUUUUAUAUUUUCUGUUCUUGGCUUUAAAAUCUUGCUUAACUGCUAUGGUCACCAUUUACUUUUUAUCAUGAAAGAAAGAAAAAAAAAAAAUCUCCUUUUGUGCUCCACAAAAGAAAGUCAUACAGAAAGACAUUAAGGGUGAGUAAGUGAUGAAUUGUCUUUUUUUUUUUUUUUUUUUUUUGGGAUGAACUGUUCCUUUAAUACGUUGGCCAGAAUGCAUAACAAAUCUGAUAUUAUACAUUCUCCCGCACAAGAAAAAAGCCUUUCAACUAGAAAAUAAAAACUCGGCUCAUUAUUCUCGUCACUAGAGAGAUAGAAAAUCCUUGGUGGGUUCAUUUUAUGCAGUUUUACAAAUAAGAAAGAAAAUCUGUCCUCUUCCUCCCACUCAUCAGCUUGCCUUCCCCCCCUACUGUUUCUUUUCUUUCUAUCUUUUUUUGCUUCCCAUCUCUCGCUAAACUACCAAAAUGCAGGAAGCCACAGCAGGC